RNAcentral lists this long non-coding RNA (851 nucleotides) under Marmota monax (woodchuck). The record is from RNAcentral. Lineage: Eukaryota; Metazoa; Chordata; Mammalia; Rodentia; Sciuridae.
CUAGCAUCGUGGCCCCAAAGACCUCUCAGGGGAAAAUCAGCCUGUCUCAGAAGGAAGCCAACUCUCGGGCAGGUAAGGAACCUAGUCUACCUACUUGCUUCGGGCAUUGGAUCCAGCCUCACUGAAGCAAGCCACGUCUUGGACUUUAACCCAUGAAUCCAGUGAGCCCCUGUUGUGCUAACACUGAAGCACUGGCCUUCUGGCCACAGUGACUGAUGGCUCCCACGGUGUAUAGGCCCUACAGUUUCUGGCAUAGGCCUCCAGCUACAGGCUGUGGACACACAUUUAGCUCUGGGACUGGGGUCCUGGUGAGAAGCCGGUGGUGAGGGACAAGGGACCCACAGGGAAAAGCCAAGCUAAGAAAGCUGUGUAAGAGACAAAGUGUUUCCCAGAUUUCCUGUGGUCAGGGGGACUUGUUGGUGGGAGAUGGGGCUGGCCCUGAGGAAGGAGGCGGUAACAGGGGCUUCUGUCUGGUAUCUGCAGUGCAGCUAGGAGGCCCUGUGAUCACACUUGCUUCUGAGGAUCACUAUACAUGCACACCAAUGUGCUCGUUUUUUGUUGUUGUUGUUGUUGUUGUUUUGUUUUGUUUGAAUUCUGAGGAUUGAACCCAGGGCCUUGCAUAUGCUAGGUAAGUGCUGUACCAUUGAGCUACAUCCCCAGCCUGCACCUAAAAACUGUUUAAAAAUGGGCUGGGGUGGGCUGGGGCUGGGGCUGAGCAGUAGAGCGCUCACCUAGCACGUGCAAAGCCCUGGGUUCAAUCCUCAGCACCAUAUAAAAAUAAAUACAUAGAUAAAAUAAAGGUAUUGUAUCCAACUACAACUAAAAAAAUAUAUUAAAAAACAUUUCAAAAA